Molecule: ribosomal RNA, 418 nt
Filed under: uncultured prokaryote
Description: bacterial SSU rRNA
Rfam family: Archaeal small subunit ribosomal RNA
Source: RNAcentral
GUGCCAGCCGCCGCGGUACUACCAGCUCUCCGAGUGGUGGGGAUGAUUAUUGGGCCUAAAGCAUCCGUAGCCGGCUGGACAAGUCCCCUGUUAAAUCCAACGAUCCAAUCGUUGGUCUGCGGGGGAUACUGUCCGGCUUGGGGGCGGGAGAGGCCGCCGGUAUUUCCGGGGUAGGGGUGAAAUCCUAUAAUCCCGGGAGGACCACCAGUGGCGAAGGCUGUCGGCUAGAACGCGCCCGACGGUGAGGGAUGAAAGCUGGGGGAGCGAACCGGAUUAGAUACCCGGGUAGUCCCAGCUGUAAACGAUGCAGGCUAGGUGUUAGGGCGGCUACGUGCCGCUCUAGUGCCGCAGGGAAGCCGUUAAGCCUGCCGCCUGGGGAGUACGGUCGCAAGGCUGAAACUUAAAUGAAUUGACGGGG